CGGGUAUAGCUCAAUGGUAGAGCAGCAGCCUUCCAAC
Molecule: transfer RNA, 37 nt
Filed under: Thalassiosira antarctica
Lineage: Eukaryota; Bacillariophyta; Thalassiosirophyceae; Thalassiosirales; Thalassiosiraceae
Description: partial tRNA
Source: RNAcentral